GUGCCAGCAGCCGCGGUAAUACGGAGGAUGCAAGCGUUAUCCGGAAUGAUUGGGCGUAAAGCGUCCGCAGGUGGCGGUGUAAGUCUGCUGUUAAAGAGUGAGGCUCAACCUCAUAAAAGCAGUGGAAACUACACAGCUAGAGUGCGGUAGGGGCAGAGGGAAUUCCUGGUGUAGCGGUGAAAUGCGUAGAGAUCAGGAAGAACACCGGUGGCGAAAGCGCUCUGCUAGGCCGCAACUGACACUGAGGGACGAAAGCUAGGGGAGCGAAUGGGAUUAGAUACCCCCGUAGUCC
This 292-nucleotide ribosomal RNA is filed under the name uncultured bacterium. RNAcentral's name for it is "partial 16S ribosomal RNA". It matches the Rfam family "Bacterial small subunit ribosomal RNA", at positions 505 to 796 of the family's 1533-position model. The record is from RNAcentral.